This 253-nucleotide ribosomal RNA is filed under the name uncultured bacterium. RNAcentral describes it as "partial 16S ribosomal RNA". It matches the Rfam family "Bacterial small subunit ribosomal RNA", at positions 524 to 776 of the family's 1533-position model. The record is from RNAcentral.
UACGGAGGGGGCUAGCGUUGUUCGGAAUUACUGGGCGUAAAGCGCGCGUAGGCGGACCUGCAAGUCGGGGGUGAAAGCCCGAGGCUCAACCUCGGAACUGCCUUCGAUACCGCGGGUCUCGAGUCCGGGAGAGGUGAGUGGAAUUCCUAGUGUAGAGGUGAAAUUCGUAGAUAUUAGGAAGAACACCAGUGGCGAAGGCGGCUCACUGGCCCGGUACUGACGCUGAGGCGCGAAAGCGUGGGGAGCAAACAGG